RNAcentral lists this ribosomal RNA (483 nucleotides) under Triticum aestivum (bread wheat). RNAcentral describes it as "partial small subunit ribosomal RNA". The record is from RNAcentral. Lineage: Eukaryota; Viridiplantae; Streptophyta; Magnoliopsida; Poales; Poaceae.
AUGAGAUGCCUCAGCUAGAACUGCCGUGGGCUUGGGAACCCAGCGGUAGUUCGAGAGCUUCGCAGUGUUGUGAAGCAGGAAGGGCCCGGUCUCCUCUUCUUGAUGGAGACGAAAAUACCAGCAAAAAGAGUAGAGAAUCUGCAAGCUACCCUAGGCUUCGCAGGAUGUUUUGCCGUGGGAAGUGCUGGCUUAAGUGGAGGUAUUGGUUUGUUCUGGUCAACCGAUCUUAUUGUUGACCUUAAGAGCUAUAGUUCUGGCCAUAUCGACGUUAUGGUGCAGAAAAGCGAUUUGAGCGAAGACCCCUUUCGGUUCACGGGUUUUUACGGUGCCCCUAGAGUGUCUGACCGUCACCACAGUUGGAGGUCUCUUCGCACACUAAAUGCAAUUCCACACUCGGCCUGGCUGUGUGUUGGACAUUUCAACGAGACAUUGUAUGCCUCGAAACACUUCUCACGUGCUGCUAGGCCUGAAUGGCAGAUGUGA